This 1323-nucleotide ribosomal RNA is filed under the name Triticum aestivum (bread wheat). RNAcentral describes it as "partial small subunit ribosomal RNA". The record is from RNAcentral. Lineage: Eukaryota; Viridiplantae; Streptophyta; Magnoliopsida; Poales; Poaceae.
AUGGAUGAAGCUGAGGGUGGGUUCACCCCAGUGUCUCAGUUGAACCCGUCACCGGAGCCCAGGUACAGAGUCCGGGUGCGCAUCUCGCGGAUGUGGGAGUCCUUCAACCCAAAUAAUGGCACGGUGUUCGGCCUCGACACCCUUCUCAUCGACGAUGAGGGUGGUGCCAUGCAAGCCCGUGUACAUCGAAAAGGUAAAAAGCGUCUCGAAGAGCGGUUAAUUGAAGGGAAGGUCUACACACUGUCAGAUUUUGAAGUUUGUCAAAGCAAGGGGAACUACAUCAAAUGUAGGAACCCCUUCAUGAUGAACAUUGGAGCACGGACGGUGGUAGAUGAGAUCGAUGGAGGUGUCAACAUGAUACCUCUCCAUCACUUUGAUUUUGUUGAUUUUGGUGAUGUUCCUCCUUUGAUGGGCUGCAACAAUAGCUCAUUGACAGAUAUAAACUUCACAGAUGUUAUUGGCCAAGUAGUAGAAGUUUGGCCCAUACAGCAGGUCCCGAAAAAACUCCGUGUGAUAGAAUUUUGCAGCUUACGGAUUCAGGAUUUCAGUGGAAAGGAACUGGAUGUCACACUGUAUGGAAAGCUUGGUCAUGAGUUUUACGCAGAGGUUCGCAAGCAAUGCCGACGAGAUCCUGUUGUUGCCGUAUUCGCAGCGAUGGAUAACUUUGUUGUUGGUGUGCAGUUUGGAUCAUCCAAAAAAACCAUAGUGCACCUCCAUUCUCAGCAAGCAAGCUCUGUAGAUCCGACUCAGGAGCCGCAAAGUAUUUCGCAGCGAGCCCAGGAGUUACAAAGUAGCUGGAGAACAAUCAAACAGCUGCAAAGCCUCGAUCCAUUCGAGUUACCGAAGGAUGCCAAAUUUUUGUGCACAUCCACCCUGAAAGAGAUAGACUGCACCCAAGGUUGGUAUUAUCUUGGAUGCGUCCACUGCAGACAGUCGAUCUGCAGGGACGGAAGCGAAUUCUGGUGCAGCCAGUGUGACCCAGUGAACAAGAAGCGGAAGAGGCCGGUAUUACGGUACAAGCUAAAUGCAAUGGUGGAGGAUGACACUGCAACCAUGAACUUGAUGAUCUUUGCCGAGGAGGCGCAUGGACUGAUCGGUAUCACGGCAGAAGAACUUUUGAAAGAGAUCACCGAUUAUGGCAGGUGCACCAUGCCAGCUGCAAUCUCAGAUAUUCUUGGCUCGACCCACACCUUUCAAGUUGCCGUGGGCAACCAGAGCUUGAGCUUCGUUGUGAAAUGGGUCCUGGACGAUGAUGAGUUGACACUGCUCCAGCAUAGUGGGUCAGUUCAGUUGUCAGUACAGGCGACAACAAUCCUUUGCUGA